GAUUUUGAUGCAAAAUAAAACUGGUACUCACAAAGAAGAGUUGAUUUCGCUCCCAGACCAUUGAUAUCGAACCACCAUCGAUUUGCUAAAAAUUGACAAAACACUUGCUUUGCCUGAACACAUGAGAAAAGAAAGUGUAUGAUCGAUUCCGCGGCAGCGCUACACCUUGGGCAAGUCUCGGAUCUCCCAGGCAGACGCCGAUGAAGAAGCUCCAUCACCGGAAGGCGCUCAUGCAAGGCUCGCCUUAGGAAGAUGCCAAUUUUGGAGAGGAGCUUCAAUUUCCACAAUUUGCCCAAGUGUUUUUUCUUUCUUAGAGGUUCGGAAUGAGCUCCAAAGGGGGGUGACUGAACUGAUAAGCUACUCGGUAUCCGGAGGAGACUUCAUAUUUAACAGAUUUAUGAAAUAUCCAUAGGUUAACAGGUGGCUGACUUUGGUUACUACUUGGUUUGUCGAGAAAGCAUUCAACUAUAGGGGAGGUGAAAAAUGUUGAGGGGAAGGAACCCAUGGAUCAGAAAAGAUGUUCACAGAUUAACCAGUUCCGAUGUUUCAGAGAAGACCUUUCUCAAUGACCUUACGGCUCUCAGAUGUCCGUUACGGUACCACGCUGGAAGGGGAAUAAAGUUCGAAGGACAAAUAAAUCCUUGAC
This is a long non-coding RNA of Arachis duranensis, 646 nucleotides long. RefSeq lists it as uncharacterized. Lineage: Eukaryota; Viridiplantae; Streptophyta; Magnoliopsida; Fabales; Fabaceae. The record is from RefSeq and is a predicted model, not a curated record. The transcript has 3 exons.